CCGGGUGGGGAGGCCUGGCCAUAUCCCCAGGGUGUCCUGGACGUCACAAUACGAGGGCUAACGGUCUGUAUUUCCCAGGGCUCGUGAGUUUCCCAGGACCCGAGCCGUCCAGUGUUCAGGACAGUAUCUGGUCAGUGCACACAGGUCUGCCGGGUUGUAUUUGUCAUCCCAGCAGAGGCAGCGGAUCACAAGUUCCAGGCCAGCCGGGACUCCGUGAAAAACCAAACCAAUCAAAAAGGGACCCUCCUUACCUGAUUUGUGAACGAAAACAAGUCUCCCAUCUCGGUGGUGUUUCUUGUCAUUUCUUGGCGUUGUUACCUAUUCUGCCUGUUUGAUUAAGCAUCACUGUGCACGGAUUCUUUCAUGUGCCCAGUGGAGUUUUCCAGACUUGUGACAUCAUAAUAGUGCUCCUGCCCUGAGUUCCUACCUUGGGCUCUCCGAUGAACUGUGAACCCAGAGAUGUGAGCCAAAUAAACCCUUUCCUCUCCAAGUUCGUAUUGGUCAGAGUGUUUUGUCACAGCAAUUGAAAGCAAACAAAAACACUCCCACAGUGUGUCUGUAAUUACUCUUCAGAAGAGCAUCUUCCACUUAAAAGUGCAGGGCAUGGUGGCACACACCUGUAAUCUCAGCACUUAGGAGGUAGAAGCAGGAGGAUCAGGAGUUUAGGGUCAUCUUUGGUUAUAUAUGGAGUUUGAGGUCAGCCUGACCUACACGAGACCCUGACUCAAAAAAACCAAACAACAGAAAGCACUGUGAUACUGACAGAGGAUGAUGGCAUGUGGGACCAGCAGGCUAUGCGAACAUCAGUGAUGUCUGCAGUUCGACUUGGUUUCAAUAUAUUUUAUAAAAUUUAGAAUCACAUGUGGGGCUGGUGAGAUGGCUCAGUGGUUAAGAGCACUUGCUGCUCUUGCAGAAGACAUGGUUUGGUU
This is a long non-coding RNA of Nannospalax galili (Upper Galilee mountains blind mole rat), 929 nucleotides long. RefSeq lists it as uncharacterized. Lineage: Eukaryota; Metazoa; Chordata; Mammalia; Rodentia; Spalacidae. The record is from RefSeq and is a predicted model, not a curated record. The transcript is spliced from 3 exons.